RNAcentral lists this ribosomal RNA (507 nucleotides) under uncultured Glomus. RNAcentral's name for it is "SSU rRNA". It matches the Rfam family "Eukaryotic small subunit ribosomal RNA", at positions 569 to 1078 of the family's 1831-position model. Lineage: Eukaryota; Fungi; Glomeromycota; Glomeromycetes; Glomerales; Glomeraceae. The record is from RNAcentral.
AGCAGCCGCGGUAAUUCCAGCUCCAAUAGCGUAUAUUAAAGUUGUUGCAGUUAAAAAGCUCGUAGUUGAAUUUCGGGGUCAAUAAGUUGGUCAUGCCAAUGGUAUGCACUGGCUUUAUUGAUUCCUACCUCUUGACGAACUGUGAUGCCAUUAAUUUGGUGUUGCAAGGAAUCAGGACUGUUACCUUGAAAAAAUUAGAGUGCUUAAAGCAAGCUUACGCUUGAAUACAUUAGCAUGGAAUAAUGAAAUAGGACGCUUGAUCCUAUUUUGUUGGUUUCUAGGAUCGACGUAAUGAUUAAUAGGGAUAGUUGGGGGCAUUAGUAUUCAAUUGUCAGAGGUGAAAUUCUUGGAUUUUAUUGAAGACUAACUACUGCGAAAGCAUUUGCCAAGGAUGUUUUCAUUAAUCAAGAACGAAAGUUAGGGGAUCGAAGACGAUCAGAUACCGUCGUAGUCUUAACCAUAAACUAUGCCGACUAGGGAUCGGAUGAUGUUAAUUUUUAAUGUACU